GGGUCCGCACAAGCGGUGGAGCAUGUGGUUUAAUUCGAUAAUACGCGAGGAACCUUACCUAGGCUAGAAUGCGAGUGAUAUCCAGAGAGAUCUGGAGUUCUUCGGACACAAAGCAAGGUGCUGCAUGGUUGUCGUCAGCUCGUGCCGUGAGGUGUUGGGUUAAGUCCCGCAACGAGCGCAACCCCUAUUUCUAGUUGCCAGCAAGUAAUGUUGGGGACUCUAGAAAGACUGCCUGCGUAAGCAGAGAGGAAGGAGGGGACGACGUCAAAUCAGCAUGGCCCUUAUGCCUAGGGCUACACACGUGCUACAAUGGCGUAUACAAAGGGUAGCGAACCAGCGAUGGUAAGCC
RNAcentral lists this ribosomal RNA (349 nucleotides) under uncultured bacterium. RNAcentral describes it as "bacterial SSU rRNA". It matches the Rfam family "Bacterial small subunit ribosomal RNA", at positions 917 to 1269 of the family's 1533-position model. The record is from RNAcentral.